Molecule: ribosomal RNA, 614 nt
Filed under: Neoserica sp. BMNH 671345
Lineage: Eukaryota; Metazoa; Arthropoda; Insecta; Coleoptera; Scarabaeidae
Also listed under: 1 other name
Description: partial 16S large subunit ribosomal RNA
Rfam family: Bacterial large subunit ribosomal RNA
Source: RNAcentral
UUUAAGGUCUAAUCUGCCCUAUGAGGAGUUAAAUGGCCGCGGUAUUUUGACCGUGCAAAGGUAGCAUAAUAAUUAGUUUUUUAAUUGAAAGCUGGAAUGAACGAUUGAACGAGAAAGUGACUGUCUCAAUGUAAUUUAGUUAGAAAUUUAUUUUUAAGUAAAAAAGCUUAAAUUUUAUUAAAAGACGAGAAGACCCUAUAGAGUUUUAUAGAUACUUAAUUUAUUAAUUUUUUAGUAUUAUUUUAUUAAUAUUUAAUUAUUUAUUUUGUUGGGGCGAUAGGGAGAUUUAAUAAACUUUCUUUAGGUAUUGAACAUUGAUAAAUGAUUUUUUGAUCCAUUAUUAAUGAUUAUAAGAUUAAGUUACCUUAGGGAUAACAGCGUAAUUUUUUUUCUAGAGUUCUUAUCGAAAAAAGAGAUUGCGACCUCGAUGUUGGAUUAAAAUAAAUGUUUGGUGUAGGAGCUAAAUAAUUAGGUCUGUUCGACCUUUAAAAUUUUACAUGAUCUGAGUUUAAACCGGCGUGAGCCAGGUUGGUUUCUAUCUUUAAUUUGUUAGGAUAUUUUAGUACGAAAGGACCAAAUAUUUAUAAUAAUUAUUAAUAUUUGAAUAAUAUUAG